UACGGAGGGUGCAAGCGUUGUUCGGAAUUAUUGGGCGUAAAGGGCGCGUAGGCGGUUUGUUAAGUCGGCUGUGAAAGCCCGGGGCUCAACCCCGGAGGGUCAGCCGAUACUGGCAGACUAGAGUACGGAAGAGGUAGCUGGAAUUCCCGGUGUAGCGGUGAAAUGCGUAGAUAUUGACAGGAACACCAGUGGCGUAAGCGGCUAUCUGGACCGACAUUGACGCUGAGGCACGAAAGCGUGGGGAUCAAACAGG
RNAcentral lists this ribosomal RNA (253 nucleotides) under uncultured bacterium. Its description in RNAcentral is "partial 16S ribosomal RNA". It matches the Rfam family "Bacterial small subunit ribosomal RNA", at positions 524 to 776 of the family's 1533-position model. The record is from RNAcentral.